UGAAGGACGAAUUUGGAUUUUG
This 22-nucleotide non-coding RNA is filed under the name Arabidopsis thaliana (thale cress). Lineage: Eukaryota; Viridiplantae; Streptophyta; Magnoliopsida; Brassicales; Brassicaceae. The record is from RNAcentral.